RNAcentral lists this ribosomal RNA (404 nucleotides) under uncultured Aeromonas sp. RNAcentral describes it as "bacterial SSU rRNA". It matches the Rfam family "Bacterial small subunit ribosomal RNA", at positions 138 to 537 of the family's 1533-position model. Lineage: Bacteria; Pseudomonadati; Pseudomonadota; Gammaproteobacteria; Aeromonadales; Aeromonadaceae. The record is from RNAcentral.
GGGGGAUAACAGUUGGAAACGACUGCUAAUACCGCAUACGCCCUACGGGGGAAAGGAGGGGACCUUCGGGCCUUUCGCGAUUGGAUGAACCCAGGUGGGAUUAGCUAGUUGGUGGGGUAAUGGCUCACCAAGGCGACGAUCCCUAGCUGGUCUGAGAGGAUGAUCAGCCACACUGGAACUGAGACACGGUCCAGACUCCUACGGGAGGCAGCAGUGGGGAAUAUUGCACAAUGGGGGAAACCCUGAUGCAGCCAUGCCGCGUGUGUGAAGAAGGCCUUCGGGUUGUAAAGCACUUUCAGCGAGGAGGAAAGGUUGGCGCCUAAUACGUGUCAACUGUGACGUUACUCGCAGAAGAAGCACCGGCUAACUCCGUGCCAGCAGCCGCGGUAAUACGGAGGGUGCAA